This 322-nucleotide ribosomal RNA is filed under the name uncultured archaeon. RNAcentral describes it as "bacterial SSU rRNA". It matches the Rfam family "Archaeal small subunit ribosomal RNA", at positions 19 to 346 of the family's 1478-position model. The record is from RNAcentral.
GGACCCGACUGCUAUCGGAUUGGGACUAAGCCAUGCGAGUCAACUCCGCAAGGGGUGGCGCACGGCUCAGUAACACGUAGUCAACAUGCCCAAGGGACGUGGAUAACCUCGGGAAACUGAGGAUAAACCGCGAUAGGCCAAGAUUUCUGGAAUGGAUCAUGGCUGAAAUCUAUAUGGCCCUUGGAUUGGACUGCGGCCGAUCAGGCUGUUGGUGGGGUAAUGGCCCACCAAACCUAUAACCGGUACGGGCUUUGAGAGAAGGAGCCCGGAGAUGGGCACUGAGACAAGGGCCCAGGCCCUACGGGGCGCAGCAGGCGCGAUG